Molecule: RNase P RNA, 355 nt
Filed under: Marinobacterium sp. LSUCC0821
Lineage: Bacteria; Pseudomonadati; Pseudomonadota; Gammaproteobacteria; Oceanospirillales; Oceanospirillaceae
Description: Bacterial RNase P class A
Rfam family: Bacterial RNase P class A
About the family: Ribonuclease P (RNase P) is a ubiquitous endoribonuclease, found in archaea, bacteria and eukarya as well as chloroplasts and mitochondria.
Source: Rfam by way of RNAcentral
CGAGUUCACUAGACAGUCGCCGCUUCACUUGUGAAGGGGAGGAAAGUCCGGGCUCCAUAGGGCAAAGUGCCAGAUAACGUCUGGGCGGUGAGAGCCGACGGAAAGUGCAACAGAAAGUAUACCGCCUAAGUAGUCGUAAGAUUGCCGGUAAGGUUGAAAUGGUGCGGUAAGAGCGCACCGCGUGGGUGGCAACACUCCACGGCGAUGGUAAACCCCACUCGGAGCAAGACCAAAUAGGGACCUGUUAGGCGUGGCCCACGCUAGGUCCGGGUAGGUCGCUUGAGGCUAGGAGUGAUCCUAGUCCUAGAUGAAUGACUGUCCACGACAGAACCCGGCUUACCGGUGAGCUCAUCUA